Molecule: RNA transcript, 1675 nt
Organism: Astyanax mexicanus (Mexican tetra)
Lineage: Eukaryota; Metazoa; Chordata; Actinopteri; Characiformes; Acestrorhamphidae
Gene: il15
Gene name: interleukin 15
Exons: 6
Source: RefSeq, a predicted model, not a curated record
AAAAGUGAAAGCGUCUCUGCUGGACUGGCCUAGGGCGGGGUGUCACUGUUUACUCAGCAGCGCUGCUGAAUUUGGUGGAGAGAUGUCUUCAUUGAGAAGUCAGAGCUCAUGGAUUCUUUGAGAAGGUGUGAUCCUCUUCACGUGAACGCCGCGCGCGAGGCAGACCUGCUUUGUUACAUUACCUGAUUUUUUUUUCUCUUCCAUCCCGGACUUUGGCAUGAUGACAGAAUGUGAUCCGGAGCUGCGGACGUGGGUACAUGGCUGCCCAGUAAUCUUGCGCCGAUGACCGUCCUGCAGACCCUCUACUUAGUCUUGGUCUUGGGAAUCUGGAGUAAACCCAGAAAACUGCACAGAUCAAAGGGAACCGUGAGAUGUGCGUCUCUCCGCUGGUGCUCUGAUAGUAACCUGGAGAACCAUUUGAACACCGAGCUGUCUGAGUGUGUUUUGGACUACUGUGAGUGCUCACGCUGUGGCCAACUUACAGGAGAUUGAUCGCGUGCUUACCAAAAUGGAAACGGACCAAAUAUUUAAUAAAUCAGAUGCCUCAUUGUAUGUACCAGAUGAAAAUACUUACCUAAUGGAAUGCAGCAAUGAAUUAAUGUACUGCUACCUGCUGGAGUUAUACGUCAUCGCAUAUGAAGAAAAGGCUAGUGAGAACAGCCUUCAGGUCAUACACACCAAUAAAGGCACAUAUAAAGAGCUUACUGAAGAUCGGAAGUCUUCAAAUCAUCAUGUAUGUCCAGAAUGUGAAAACCACCAAGUCAACUCCACGGUGUUCUUAAAAAGGAUGAAGACAUUUAUUAAAACACUGCAAUCGAUUCCAGACUAAUUAGUGCACUCAUUCCUACACCAGAGCCUUGAUGUAAAUAAGCUCCUUUUACUUUUAGCAUGUAUUAUAGACUGUGUAUUAAUGUCAAUAUUUAUGAACAUAGAGGCCUAUAUUGUACACUUCUUAUUCCUAACCUCAAAUGUGUUAAUUCGAUCCAUUUUGUAUUUUAACUACAAAUUAUUUUUAUAUGUAUUUUUUUAUAUUAUACAAGACUCAUUUCUGUAAAUAUUUCAUUCAGUUGAAUGUAGGGAAAUGAGGAAGCUAGAGAAAAAGUGUCUUAAUGUACCUGUGUCUCUUCCAGAGCUCUUAAAUACUUUGUUAACAACUUAGUUAAAGGCAAAAAAGGUUUAAUGGCAAAUUAAAUACCUUUGGUAUUGCAUAUAACACUCCUAACUCUGCCUGUAACUGAACAUGAGGUAAGCUGGAAUAAGUUUUUUUUGUGACUUUUAUUUUGUAUGUGAAGCUUUUUUUUUGUUGUUAUAUAGCCUCUGGUAUGUAAAGUGCUCUUUUUUUUGUCCAGUAAAACCAAAAAUAUAGUACUGUGCAAAACCUAAGCAUUUUAUAAAUUUAUCUUAAAACAUUAUUUAAUGGGUGCUAAGCAUUUGUUUGAUGAGAAAAAUACUAAUAUUAAAGUAGAAACAGUUGACGUAGAAAAGUAUUAGAUUUAUGUAUAAAAGGCCCUGUUCACACCUGGCAUUAAUAGACCACUGAAGUCAUGCGUCAUUCUGUAGUCCUUGUACGGCUUUCGUGUCUAAGCGGUUUUUCCCUAUAAGGAAAAUGAAUAGGCUUUUCAAAAACCCGCCUCUGACACAUUCUGUGGUAAAUAAAUCUGAUUACACCCCUGUA